AUUGAACGCUGGCGGCAGGCCUAACACAUGCAAGUCGAGCGGAUGAAGGGAGCUUGCUCCUGGAUUCAGCGGCGGACGGGUGAGUAAUGCCUAGGAAUCUGCCUGGUAGUGGGGGAUAACGUCCGGAAACGGGCGCUAAUACCGCAUACGUCCUGAGGGAGAAAGUGGGGGAUCUUCGGACCUCACGCUAUCAGAUGAGCCUAGGUCGGAUUAGCUAGUUGGUGGGGUAAAGGCCUACCAAGGCGACGAUCCGUAACUGGUCUGAGAGGAUGAUCAGUCACACUGGAACUGAGACACGGUCCAGACUCCGACGGGAGGCAGCAGUGGGGAAUAUUGGACAAUGGGCGAAAGCCUGAUACAGCCAUGCCGCGUGUGUGAAGAAGGUCUUCGGAUUGUAAAGCACUUUAAGGUGGGAGGAAGGGCAGUAAGUUAAUACCUUGCUGUUUUGACGUUACCAACAGAAUAAGCACCGGCUAACUUCGUG
This 484-nucleotide ribosomal RNA is filed under the name uncultured bacterium. Its description in RNAcentral is "partial 16S ribosomal RNA". It matches the Rfam family "Bacterial small subunit ribosomal RNA", at positions 30 to 507 of the family's 1533-position model. The record is from RNAcentral.